UUUUCAUAAUUAUGUUCUUCUUGGUUCACUAUAUCUGGAACAGGAGGCAAAGCUGACCUGUUACUAACUGAGGAGCUGGAUCUGAAUAAUCUACUCAUCUUGACUGUUUCAAAAAUUAAAAUCUUACUCAAGGUUCAUUCAUGCAUACCCCGUUUACCCAAAGUAGACUCAUACCUAUGUUCUAUAACCCGACACUGCUCACACCCUGGAGACUUACAAAGGUUAGACACGAACUAGGUGGACUACAGGUAAGUAAGGUGACUUCAGAACUUUGAUGAAGAUGAUAAAUUUUGAAAGAG
This 299-nucleotide long non-coding RNA is filed under the name Panax ginseng (ginseng). RNAcentral's name for it is "long non-coding RNA (PGIN_LNC006683)". The record is from RNAcentral. Lineage: Eukaryota; Viridiplantae; Streptophyta; Magnoliopsida; Apiales; Araliaceae.